This 72-nucleotide transfer RNA is filed under the name Cavia porcellus (domestic guinea pig). It matches the Rfam family "tRNA". From Rfam's summary of the family: Transfer RNA (tRNA) molecules are approximately 80 nucleotides in length. Their secondary structure includes four short double-helical elements and three loops (D, anti-codon, and T loops). Lineage: Eukaryota; Metazoa; Chordata; Mammalia; Rodentia; Caviidae. The record is from Rfam by way of RNAcentral.
GGGGAUGUAGCUCAGUGGUACAGCGCAUGCUUUGCAUGUAUGAAGCCCCAGGUUCAAUCCCCAGCAUCACCA